Molecule: ribosomal RNA, 159 nt
Filed under: Monolluma quadrangula
Lineage: Eukaryota; Viridiplantae; Streptophyta; Magnoliopsida; Gentianales; Apocynaceae
Also listed under: 1 other name
Description: Caralluma quadrangula 5.8S ribosomal RNA
Rfam family: 5.8S ribosomal RNA
About the family: 5.8S ribosomal RNA (5.8S rRNA) is a component of the large subunit of the eukaryotic ribosome. It is transcribed by RNA polymerase I as part of the 45S precursor that also contains 18S and 28S rRNA.
Source: RNAcentral
CGACUCCCGACAACGGAUAUCUAGGCUCUCGCAUCGAUGAAGAACGUAGCAAAAUGCGAUACUUGGUGUGAAUUGCAGAAUCCCGUGAAUCAUCGAGUCUUUGAACGCAAGUUGCGCCCAAAGUCAUUAGGCCGAGGGCACGUCUGCCUGGGUGUCACG